This 476-nucleotide ribosomal RNA is filed under the name uncultured bacterium. Its description in RNAcentral is "bacterial SSU rRNA". It matches the Rfam family "Bacterial small subunit ribosomal RNA", at positions 26 to 518 of the family's 1533-position model. The record is from RNAcentral.
AGGACGAACGCUGGCGGCGUGCCUAACACAUGCAAGUCGAACGAGGAGAUUCCUUCGGGAUGAUCCUAGCGGCGGACGGGUGAGUAACACGUGGGCAACCUGCCUCAUAGAGAGGAAUAGCCUUCCGAAAGGGAGAUUAAUACCUCAUAACAUUGCAGUUUCGCAUGGAACAGCAAUUAAAGGAGUAAUCCGCUAUGAGAUGGGCCCGCGGCGCAUUAGCUAGUUGGUGAGGUAACGGCUCACCAAGGCGACGAUGCGUAGCCGACCUGAGAGGGUGAUCGGCCACAUUGGGACUGAGACACGGCCCAGACUCCUACGGGAGGCAGCAGUGGGGAAUAUUGCACAAUGGGGGAAACCCUGAUGCAAGCAACGCCGCGUGAGUGAUGACGGCCUUCGGGUUGUAAAGCUCUGUCUUCAGGGACGAUAAUGACGGUACCUGAGGAGGAAGCCACGGCUAACUACGUGCCAGCCGCUGC